GAUGAACGCUGGCGGCGUGCCUAAUACAUGCAAGUCGAGCGAACAGAUGAGGAGCUUGCUCCUCUGACGUUAGCGGCGGACGGGUGAGUAACACGUGGAUAACCUACCUAUAAGACUGGGAUAACUUCGGGAAACCGGAGCUAAUACCGGAUAAUAUAUUGAACCGCAUGGUUCAAUAGUGAAAGACGGUUUUGCUGUCACUUAUAGGUGGAUCCGCGCCGCAUUAGCUAGUUGGUAAGGUAACGGCUUACCAAGGCAACGAUGCGUAGCCGACCUGAGAGGGUGAUCGGCCACACUGGAACUGAGACACGGUCCAGACUCCUACGGGAGGCAGCAGUAGGGAAUCUUCCGCAAUGGGCGAAAGCCUAACGGAGCAACGCCGCGUGAGUGAUGAAGGUCUUCGGAUCGUAAAACUCUGUUAUUAGGGAAGAACAAAUGUGUAAGUAACUAUGCACGUCUUGACGGUACCUAAUCAGAAAGCCACGGCUAACUACGUG
RNAcentral lists this ribosomal RNA (497 nucleotides) under uncultured bacterium. Its description in RNAcentral is "partial 16S ribosomal RNA". It matches the Rfam family "Bacterial small subunit ribosomal RNA", at positions 28 to 507 of the family's 1533-position model. The record is from RNAcentral.